GAUUCCUUCUUCCCUUUGUGGUGUGGUGGGCUUGAAGACAACAUAUGGAAGGACUGACAUGAAAGGGUUGCUCUAUCAUAGUGGAACAGUGGCAAUUGUUGGACCUAUCACAGCAACUGUUGAGGAUGCCAUACUGGUGUAUGCUGCAAUUUUAGGAUCUUCGCCUGCUGAGAGAGUUUCUUUGAAACCGGCCCUCCCUUGUUUACCAAAUUUAAGUUCAUGUGAGAACUGGUGCUCUAUGGGAUCACUGCGCUUGGGGAAGUACACUGAGUGGUUCAAUGAUGUUUUCUCAACUGAAAUAUCUGAUAAGUGUGAGGAUAUUCUAAACCAGCUAUCAGAAAAACAUGAGUGCAAAACGAUAGAGAUUGUAAUACCAGAGUUGCAUGAG
RNAcentral lists this unclassified non-coding RNA (388 nucleotides) under Hevea brasiliensis (rubber tree). Lineage: Eukaryota; Viridiplantae; Streptophyta; Magnoliopsida; Malpighiales; Euphorbiaceae. The record is from RNAcentral.